GACGAACGCUGGCGGCGUGCCUAACACAUGCAAGUCGAACGGAGUGGCGAACGGGUGAGUAACGCGUGGGUGACCUGCCUUGCACUUCGGGAUAAGCGUGGGAAACUGGGUCUAAUACCGGAUAUUGCAAGAUGAGCUCGCGGCCUAUCAUCUUGUUGGUGGGGUAAUGGCCUAACAAGGCGUCGAUGGGUGGCCGGCCUGGGAGGGUGUACGGCCACAUUGGGACUCGGGUACGACCCAGAGUCCUACGGGGGGCAGCGGUGGCGAAUAGUGCACAAUUGGCGGAAUCCUUAUGCAGCGACGCCGCGUGGGGAAUGAAGGCCUUCGGGUUGUAAACUCCUUUCGACAGGGACGCGGUACCUGUAUAAGAAGCACCGGCUAACUACGUGCCAGCAGCCGCGGUAAUAC
RNAcentral lists this ribosomal RNA (408 nucleotides) under uncultured bacterium. RNAcentral's name for it is "partial 16S ribosomal RNA". It matches the Rfam family "Bacterial small subunit ribosomal RNA", at positions 28 to 526 of the family's 1533-position model. The record is from RNAcentral.